RNAcentral lists this ribosomal RNA (227 nucleotides) under uncultured bacterium. RNAcentral's name for it is "partial 16S ribosomal RNA". It matches the Rfam family "Bacterial small subunit ribosomal RNA", at positions 107 to 334 of the family's 1533-position model. The record is from RNAcentral.
UGAGUAACACGUAUCCAACCUGCCGUCUACUCUUGGACAGCCUUCUGAAAGGAAGAUUAAUACAAGAUGGCAUCAUGAGUCCGCAUGUUCACAUGAUUAAAGGUAUUCCGGUAGACGAUGGGGAUGCGUUCCAUUAGAUAGUAGGAGGGGUAACGGCCCACCUAGUCUUCGAUGGAUAGGGGUUCUGAGAGGAAGGUCCCCCACAUUGGAACUGAGACACGGUCCAA